CAGGGACAUUGGCCUAAGCAGCAGGCUCAUCAUAUUUGUGCCUAGUGGUGGGAGAAGACUGGAGCAGAGGACAUGGCAUGGACAUACAGAUGUCUGAAAUCAGAUACAAUUUCUGUCGGGAGCCCAGUAACUUAGAUAACUGAUGUGAAGAUGAAACUGAUGUAAUGUUGAAGAAUGGCCACUGUUCUUUAACCCAAUACCGGACUUCUUGUUUGCAGUUUGCUUUUACAGCGCUGUCAGCACACCUAUGGAGAAUCCCCAAACUAGGCGGUUGCACAUUUGUUCGAUGUUACACUAAGAAAGCUGAAGAUUCGACAGUGGAUGCACUGAGGUUAGUGCUGCACUAGAAGAGUUGCCCCGGUCCCCUGCUUG
Long non-coding RNA from Columba livia (rock pigeon), 372 nucleotides. RefSeq lists it as uncharacterized. The record is from RefSeq and is a predicted model, not a curated record. The transcript is spliced from 3 exons. Lineage: Eukaryota; Metazoa; Chordata; Aves; Columbiformes; Columbidae.